GAUGAACGCUGGCGGCGUGCCUAAUACAUGCAAGUCGAGCGAACGGACGAGAAGCUUGCUUCUCUGAUGUUAGCGGCGGACGGGUGAGUAACACGUGGAUAACCUACCUAUAAGACUGGGAUAACUUCGGGAAACCGGAGCUAAUACCGGAUAAUAUUUUGAACCGCAUGGUUCAAAAGUGAAAAACGGUCUUGCUGUCACUUAUAGAUGGAUCCGCGCUGCAUUAGCUAGUUGGUAAGGUAACGGCUUACCAAGGCAACGAUGCAUAGCCGACCUGAGAGGGUGAUCGGCCACACUGGAACUGAGACACGGUCCAGACUCCUACGGGAGGCAGCAGUAGGGAAUCUUCCGCAAUGGGCGAAAGCCUGACGGAGCAACGCCGCGUGAGUGAUGAAGGUCUUCGGAUCGUAAAACUCUGUUAUUAGGGAAGAACAUAUGUGUAAGUAACUGUGCACAUCUUGACGGUACCUAAUCAGAAAGCCACGGCUAACUACGUGCCAGCAGCCGCGGUAAUACGUAGGUGGCAAGCGUUAUCCGGAAUUAUUGGGCGUAAAGCGCGCGUAGGCGGUUUUUUAAGUCUGAUGUGAAAGCCCACGGCUCAACCGUGGAGGGUCAUUGGAAACUGGAAAACUUGAGUGCAGAAGAGGAAAGUGGAAUUCCAUGUGUAGCGGUGAAAUGCGCAGAGAUAUGGAGGAACACCAGUGGCGAAGGCGACUUUCUGGUCUGUAACUGACGCUGAUGUGCGAAAGCGUGGGGAUCAAACAGG
Molecule: ribosomal RNA, 766 nt
Filed under: Staphylococcus aureus
Lineage: Bacteria; Bacillati; Bacillota; Bacilli; Caryophanales; Staphylococcaceae
Description: bacterial SSU rRNA
Rfam family: Bacterial small subunit ribosomal RNA
Source: RNAcentral